RNAcentral lists this ribosomal RNA (501 nucleotides) under uncultured bacterium. Its description in RNAcentral is "partial 16S ribosomal RNA". It matches the Rfam family "Bacterial small subunit ribosomal RNA", at positions 30 to 523 of the family's 1533-position model. The record is from RNAcentral.
AUUGAACGCUGGCGGUAUGCUUAACACAUGCAAGUCGAACGGCAGCAUGGUCUGUAGCAAUACAGACUGAUGGCGAGUGGCGGACGAGUGAGUAACGCGUAGGGAUCUGCCUUGUAGAGGGGGAUAACCCGGGGAAACCCGGGCUAAUACCGCAUAAUACUCUGAGGAGGAAAGCUAGCCCGCAAGGGCCGGCGCUACUAGAGGAACCUGCGUCCGAUUAGUUAGCUGGUGAGGUAAAGGCUCACCAGGGCGAUGAUCGGUAGCUGGUCUGAGAGGAUGACCAGCCACACUGGGACUGAGACACGGCCCAGACUCCUACGGGAGGCAGCAGUGGGGAAUAUUGGACAAUGGGGGCAACCCUGAUCCAGCAAUACCGCGUGUGUGAAGAAGGCCUUCGGGUUGUAAACUUCUUUUAUUUGGGACGAAAAAGGGCCUUUCUAGGUCAACUGACGGUACCAGAUGAAUAAGCACCGGCUAACUCCGUGCCAGCCGCCGCCGUAA